Molecule: ribosomal RNA, 280 nt
Filed under: uncultured bacterium
Lineage: Bacteria
Description: partial 16S ribosomal RNA
Rfam family: Bacterial small subunit ribosomal RNA
Source: RNAcentral
UGCCAGCCGCCGCGGUAAUACGGAGGGAGCGAGCGUUAAUCGGAAUUACUGGGCGUAAAGAGCUCGUAGGCUGUUCGGUAAGUCGGGUGUGAAAACUCUGGGCUCAACCCAGAGAGGCCACUCGAUACUGCUGUGACUAGAGUGCGGUAGGGGAGCGGGGAAUUUCUGGUGUAGCGGUGAAAUGCGCAGAUAUCAGAAGGAACACCAGCGGCGAAGGCGGCGCUCUGGGCCGGUACUGACGCUGAGGAGCGAAGGCGUGGGGAGCAAACAGGAUUAGAUA